This 433-nucleotide ribosomal RNA is filed under the name uncultured bacterium. Its description in RNAcentral is "bacterial SSU rRNA". It matches the Rfam family "Bacterial small subunit ribosomal RNA", at positions 366 to 793 of the family's 1533-position model. The record is from RNAcentral.
GGACAAUGGGGGCAACCCUGAUCCAGCAAUGCCGCGUGAGUGAAGAAGGCCUCGGGUUGUAAAGCUCUUUGUCAGGGAAGAAACGGUGAUCUCUAAUAUAGAUUGCUAAUGACGGUACCUGAAGAUAAGCACCGGCUAACUACGUGCCAGCAGCCGCGGUAAUACGUAGGGUGCAAGCGUUAAUCGGAAUUACUGGGCGUAAAGCGUGCGCAGGCGGUUUUGUAAGUCUGAUGUGAAAUCCCCGGGCUCAACCUGGGAACUGCAUUGGAGACUGCAAGGCUAGAGUGUGUCAGAGGGGGGUAGGAAUUCCACGUGUAGCAGUGAAAUGCGUAGAGAUGUGGAGGAAUACCGAUGGCGAAGGCAGCCCCCUGGGAUAACACUGACGCUCAUGCACGAAAGCGUGGGGAGCAAACAGGAUUAGAUACCCUGGUAG